CAUGAACUUCUCGGAGAGCAUAAUCAGCUUCGGAUGGAGGCAAACAUUUUAAUAAAGGAGACGAGAAGGCCCUUCGAAAGAGAUCUCCAUCGAUCAAAACAAAAUUGGCACUCUUGUACUUGAUUUUCUUGGCGAGCAUCCGAUCCGAAGGUAAGACGCCAUCAGCCAAAUAUUCCAGAUAGGGCGUCAACCAGUAGUUGGUUCGGUCAAUGCACAUUACCAUCUCGUGAAGAACACUAGGAUGUUGCAAAAUUUCCAGAUACACCGACCCCUCAAAAACAUUAACAUCAGUAGUGGCUAGUUUGGCGAGUGCAUCGGCAAUAAAAUUGUUGUUA
RNAcentral lists this long non-coding RNA (335 nucleotides) under Panax ginseng (ginseng). RNAcentral's name for it is "long non-coding RNA (PGIN_LNC014464)". The record is from RNAcentral. Lineage: Eukaryota; Viridiplantae; Streptophyta; Magnoliopsida; Apiales; Araliaceae.